CAAUACUUUUUACUGUAGAUUUCACUGUUCCAUUGUUAGAGCUCAAAUUUAAGUAAAAUUUUUUAACUAGAUCAACAUAAGUAUUUUCCUUUAAAGAGUUGUAAAAUUUUCAUCCUUGAUACUUAAUCUUCAAUCCAAUAGUGAAUCCUUCUUUUUCAAAAAACUUGAAAUCAAUAUUUUUCUCAGGUUCCACUUUUCGAUCAGAGAGAAGUACCUUGCUUAGGCUGAUUGGAGACUGAGUGGAAGCUGAAGCAGG
Molecule: long non-coding RNA, 256 nt
Filed under: Elaeis guineensis (African oil palm)
Lineage: Eukaryota; Viridiplantae; Streptophyta; Magnoliopsida; Arecales; Arecaceae
Description: long non-coding RNA (EGUI_LNC059953)
Source: RNAcentral